RNAcentral lists this non-coding RNA (46 nucleotides) under Schistosoma margrebowiei. The record is from RNAcentral. Lineage: Eukaryota; Metazoa; Platyhelminthes; Trematoda; Strigeidida; Schistosomatidae.
GAACUGCUGAGGAGUCCCACAAUAGAACGAAACGGUCGUCCAGUAU